UGGGAGGCAGCAGUGGGGAAUUUUGGACAAUGGGCGCAAGCCUGAUCCAGCAAUGCCGCGUGAGUGAUCAAGGCCUUAGGGUUGUAAAGCCCUUUUACCAGGGAUGAUAAUGACAGUACCUGGAGAAUAAGCUCCGGCUAACUACGUGCCAGCAGCCGCGGUAAUAC
RNAcentral lists this ribosomal RNA (167 nucleotides) under uncultured bacterium. Its description in RNAcentral is "partial 16S ribosomal RNA". It matches the Rfam family "Bacterial small subunit ribosomal RNA", at positions 342 to 526 of the family's 1533-position model. The record is from RNAcentral.